ACACGUAGGGGGCGAGCGUUAUCCGGAAUUACUGGGCGUAAAGAGUGCGUAGGUGGCUUUGCAAGCGUAGGGUAUAAGGCGACAGCCCAACUGUCGUUGGCCCCGCGAACUGUAAGGCUUGAGUACAGGAGGGGAAGGCGGAAUUCCUAGGGUAGCGGUGAAAUGCGUAGAUAUUAGGAGGAACACCAGUGGCGAAGGCGGCCUUCUGGACUGUAACUGACACUGAGGCACGAAAGCGUGGGUAGCAAACAGGAUUAGAUACCCUGGUAGUCCACGCCGUAAACGAUGAGCACUAGGUGUCGGGCUCGCAAGAGUUCGGUGCCGGAGCAAACGCAUUAAGUGCUCCGCCUGGGGAGUACGCACGCAAGUGUGAAACUCAAAUGAAUUGGCGGGG
This 394-nucleotide ribosomal RNA is filed under the name uncultured bacterium. Its description in RNAcentral is "partial 16S ribosomal RNA". It matches the Rfam family "Bacterial small subunit ribosomal RNA", at positions 523 to 918 of the family's 1533-position model. The record is from RNAcentral.